RNAcentral lists this ribosomal RNA (597 nucleotides) under uncultured bacterium. RNAcentral's name for it is "bacterial SSU rRNA". It matches the Rfam family "Bacterial small subunit ribosomal RNA", at positions 331 to 929 of the family's 1533-position model. The record is from RNAcentral.
CCAGACUCCUACGGGAGGCAGCAGUGAGGAAUAUUGGUCAAUGGGCGCAAGCCUGAACCAGCCAAGUAGCGUGCAGGAAGACGGCCCUAUGGGUUGUAAACUGCUUUUAUACGAGAAUAAUUUGAUGCACGUGUGCGUUAUUGCAUGUAUCGUAUGAAUAAGGACCGGCUAAUUCCGUGCCAGCAGCCGCGGUAAUACGGAAGGUCCAGGCGUUAUCCGGAUUUAUUGGGUUUAAAGGGAGUGUAGGCGGUUUGUUAAGCGUGUUGUGAAAUUUAGAUGCUCAACAUUUAACUUGCAGCGCGAACUGUCAGACUUGAGUACACGCAACGUAUGCGGAAUUCAUGGUGUAGCGGUGAAAUGCUUAGAUAUCAUGAAGAACUCCGAUUGCGAAGGCAGCAUACGGGAGUGUAACUGACGCUUAAGCUCGAAGGUGCGGGUAUCGAACAGGAUUAGAUACCCUGGUAGUCCGCACAGUAAACGAUGGAUGCCCGCUGUUAGCGCCUGGCGUUAGCGGCUAAGCGAAAGCAUUAAGCAUCCCACCUGGGGAGUACGCACGCAAGUGUGAAACUCAAAGGAAUUGACGGGGGCCCGCACAAG